Molecule: ribosomal RNA, 663 nt
Filed under: uncultured Synechocystis sp.
Lineage: Bacteria; Bacillati; Cyanobacteriota; Cyanophyceae; Synechococcales; Merismopediaceae
Description: bacterial SSU rRNA
Rfam family: Bacterial small subunit ribosomal RNA
Source: RNAcentral
UUACGGGUGAGUAACACGUGAGAACCUACCUUCAGGAUGGGGACAACAGUUGGAAACGACUGCUAAUACCCAAUGUGCCGAGAGGUGAAAGGAUUUAUUGCCUGAAGAUGGGCUCGCGUCUGAUUAGCUAGUUGGGGGUGUAAGRGACCACCAAGGCAACGAUCAGUAGCUGGUCUGAGAGGAUGAGCAGCCACACUGGGACUGAGACACGGCCCAGACUCCUACGGGAGGCAGCAGUGGGGAAUUUUCCGCAAUGGGCGAAAGCCUGACGGAGCAAUACCGCGUGAGGGAGGAAGGUCUUUGGAUUGUAAACCUCUUUUAUUAGGGAAGAAGAAAGUGACGGUACCUAAUGAAUAAGCAUCGGCUAACUCCGUGCCAGCAGCCGCGGUAAUACGGAGGAUGCGAGCGUUAUCCGGAAUUAUUGGGCGUAAAGAGUCCGUAGGUGGUUUAGCAAGUCUGCCGUUAAAGAAUGGAGCUUAACUCCAUAGGGGCGGUGGAAACUGCGAGACUAGAGUACAGUAGGGGUAGCAGGAAUUCCCAGUGUAGCGGUGAAAUGCGUAGAUAUUGGGAAGAACAUCGGUGGCGAAAGCGUGCUACUGGGCUGAAACUGACACUGAGGGACGAAAGCUAGGGUAGCGAAAGGGAUUAGAUACCCCUGUAGUC